This 294-nucleotide ribosomal RNA is filed under the name uncultured Methanolinea sp. Its description in RNAcentral is "partial 16S ribosomal RNA". It matches the Rfam family "Archaeal small subunit ribosomal RNA", at positions 1045 to 1338 of the family's 1478-position model. The record is from RNAcentral. Lineage: Archaea; Methanobacteriati; Methanobacteriota; Methanomicrobia; Methanomicrobiales; Methanoregulaceae.
GCGAGACCCACGCCAACAGUUGCCAGCAUGUCCUCCGGGAUGAUGGGGACACUGUUGGGACCGCCUCUGCUAAAGAGGAGGAAGGAAUGGGCAACGGUAGGUCAGCAUGCCCCGAAUUAUCCGGGCUACACGCGGGCUACAAUGGUCAGGACAAUGGGUAUCGACACCGAGAGGUGGAGGCAAUCUCCUAAACCUGUCCUUAGUUCGGAUUGUGGGCUGCAACUCGCCCACAUGAAGCUGGAAUCCGUAGUAAUCGCGUUUCAAAAUAGCGCGGUGAAUAUGUCCCUGCUCCUU